This is a non-coding RNA of Desmophyllum pertusum, 73 nucleotides long. The record is from the annotation of a GenBank genome assembly. NCBI's taxonomy places the organism in Eukaryota, Metazoa, Cnidaria, Anthozoa, Scleractinia, Caryophylliidae.
GGCGCGGUGGCCUAAUGGUUAGCGCGUUGGACUCCGGAAUGAACGGUCCUGGUUCGAGCGCUGGCCUGGGUCG